Long non-coding RNA from Zalophus californianus (California sea lion), 1836 nucleotides. RefSeq lists it as uncharacterized. The transcript is spliced from 3 exons. The record is from RefSeq and is a predicted model, not a curated record. Lineage: Eukaryota; Metazoa; Chordata; Mammalia; Carnivora; Otariidae.
AUUCUUCUUCAAUAUGCCCUUCCGUCCAAGUACAAAGCUGGACAGAGCAGGCACAGACAGCCGGCAGUAUGGCUGUGUUCCAGAAAGGCCUAGGCCAAGACUCCUCUAAGAACUUUCUCGAGCCGGGGCCUAGGGCCAGCAGUGAUAAAGUUAGAAGAGGAAGAGCACUGGCAUCCUUUGAUCUGUAACUGGUACCAGAAGCAGCCUUCUAAACUGCUCGAAGUGCUUAGGUUUGCUGCUGGAGCUGGACUUCCAAGGCCCCCACUUCGAGGCUGGCUCAUCUUUAAAUUCACAUUGAACAGUAGUAGAUGGUUAAAGCCAACACUUGCAAUAUGGUCUGGGGCUGGUGGAGGAGAGAACGGUGAAAUAUCAUACACCUGUAUAUAUCUGUUCAAGCUGAGCUCUAGAACUUGGUUUUAACAUGCAGAAUCCGUGGCGACCCUGUCUGCCCGGCGAGGGUGCUGCGAUGCUUUCCAUCCUGGGCUUAGAAUGGGCUCAGAGCCAGUUCCUUCGUUCCCAGUGGCGGCCAGCAGGGCAGACUGAGCAGGCGCAGAGAGCUUUGAUGUCAACAGAGGAAAGACUAUGUUGUCAAGAUUAAGUUACAGCCUCAUGGCCCUAUGAGUGAGCCUCGCUGCUGACUAACUCUCUCACUCAUUUUCCUGCUGGAGAUGUUUUUUCUUCGUGAACUUUCACUGUUUCUGAAUACUUUAAACAAAGAAAAUGACCGAAGGCAGGAAAAACAUCGGGGACUUCUUAACCGAUGGAGCCUUUUACAGGCUUUAUUAUGUAACGGCUGCUUUCGUUUUGUGAGCACCAAAGGAAGUUGAAGAAAUCUCUUUCUUCUUGAGCAUUUAACUGCCAAAGAACAAUGAGACAUGGCUUCACGUGGGCAGCAACACUCACUUUAAAACUCCAGUUGGAACGCGGAGUGUGUGGUAAAACAAAGCUGCCUUAAGGAAUCUGGGUCUUAAAGUGUUCAGUGAUUUGGGCAGGAUUGCAGCAUGAAUUACUGUAUUUCGUCCCCACGGAAAUCAAUUCUUUGGAAUUCCCUUACGGGGCCUGGUCUAGCGACAGAGGAGUGUGACAACUAAUGGGGCCCCAUGCAUGCUUUCCCAUAAGGAUGCUUCUCUCCGCCAGAGCUUUGGCAGGCGGAAGGGGGAGAGAUGAGAUCCUUGAUCUAGGCCCCUACCUUGCCUGCCUGUGGGUCUGUCACGCUGACCUCAGUUUGAUGACCUGAGGCUGCAGGAAGCAACUCGAGCACCCACCGUUGUUUCUCCAGCCCAGUGCCUUGGUUAUACAACCCCGACCCGGUUUCUCCAAGGCCACUCAAGUCCUGAGGACCAUCAGACCGUGAGUCAGAAUCACUGCACCAUUUCCUCCUAAGCUCCUUCUGGUUUAGUUUACACCUCAGCCCCUUCGGUCUCUUUCUUGGGGUCCCCAGGCCCUGCGUGGCAGCUUUUGUCUCUCUCUUCCUUCGGGGCCCUGGGUCCUCGCGGCGGUUUUCGCUUUCCAACAUAAUUCCACGGGAUCGCCCGCGCCAGCCCCUGCAGGCCCUGCCCCAGCUCCUCUUGUCUCCGCUUUUCCUGAAGUCGGCCUGCUGUCUUUACUGCUGCUUUUUCUGGGACACUUCAAGUUGUGGAGAGAGGUGGUUUUUUUUUUUCCCCCUGUGAUUAUAGCUCUUUCUUCCAAUUUUGACUAGUCUGGCGUCUCUCUGAUUAUAGCUCAUUAGGACUCCUGAAGUUAGAAGGCACUGUUUUUUUUAUGCUGCCUUGUUUUUAUUUUUUAAAAUAACAUGCAUUAUAACUUAUUUUUUGGUUUUUUUGGCUUGGUUUUUUU